GGAUGUGAGGGCGAUCUGGGUAGUUGGGCAUGUUUCCCCUUUCUCCUUCAUUGCUCCACAUGCUCAGUUGAUGAGAAUGGCCUCCCCAAUAGACUGUUCUUCAGUCAAGAGCAUAUGAGUAACUGCGCACCCCUGCUAGAACCUCCAAACAAGCUCUCCAAAGGGAUACAUAGGAAAAAAGAAAGAAGAAAGCAGUGACGAUUUCUGAGCAAGUCUAAAACCAGUCUUCUUAGGCUCAGUGCUCUAUGUUCUAGGACUAUUGGA
This is an unclassified non-coding RNA of Saimiri boliviensis boliviensis (Bolivian squirrel monkey), 264 nucleotides long. Its record names the gene 7SK. It matches the Rfam family "7SK RNA". From Rfam's summary of the family: 7SK was discovered as an abundant small nuclear RNA in the mid-70s but a possible function has only recently been suggested. Two independent studies have found that 7SK RNA binds the CDK9/cyclin T complex (known as elongation factor P-TEFb). The record is from Ensembl. Lineage: Eukaryota; Metazoa; Chordata; Mammalia; Primates; Cebidae.